GACUUGAAGAAAUAAUCCUUGAAGGACUUCAACAGCUGUCAGAUGUCUCUUUAGGUGCCGUGGAUGCCUUCCCACAGCUGAUGCAGCUGCAAAUACAAGGCUGUUGUAUUGACCAAUUACCAGAAUGGUUCGCUUCACUCACAACAUUGAGAACUCUGAGAUUAAUUUUUUUGGGGAAGUUGGAUGUGAUACCCGAUGGUGUUGCAAGGCUUCCUCUGCUAAGAAGGCUUGAUCUGCAAGGUUGCGAGAAGAUCCGCGUGUUACCCUUUGCAGAUUCUGAGGACAGCUCCUUCUAUCCAUCCCUGAAGUACUUACGCUUAUGCAACACAUCCGUCUCUCGAAAGCACCUCUCGCAACGCCUUCGAAAAAUUGCAGAGUUACGUUUUUUAGAAGAUGAGGACCUCUGCAAUAACCAAAUCUCAAAUUAACGAAGCUUUGGAACAACAUUGUGCAAACCUGCGAAGGGUAACAAUCUGCAAAGAGUCCAUCUUUCAUGAUCAGUGUCAUGUUGGCAGUACUCCAGUUCAACCUGGAAAACGAACACACAGAAUCAUAGUAAACCUCGUUUUACCUCGAGCAAACAAACCAGCACCCCAUCUUAAGAGUGCUCCACCGGGAAAGAAGAGCAUCUCGCCCGCGAUCUGACGAAGCCGAGCGUGGUAUUCCCCGAGGAAUCCACCG
RNAcentral lists this long non-coding RNA (681 nucleotides) under Selaginella moellendorffii. RNAcentral's name for it is "long non-coding RNA (SMOE_LNC001296)". The record is from RNAcentral. Lineage: Eukaryota; Viridiplantae; Streptophyta; Lycopodiopsida; Selaginellales; Selaginellaceae.